GCUUAUUUAGUUUUAAAGAAUAAAGAUUUGUAAGAUCUGAGGUUUAUUUUAAGUA
Molecule: transfer RNA, 55 nt
Filed under: Hygrobates longiporus
Lineage: Eukaryota; Metazoa; Arthropoda; Arachnida; Trombidiformes; Hygrobatidae
Description: tRNA-Tyr
Source: RNAcentral